Molecule: ribosomal RNA, 1346 nt
Filed under: uncultured bacterium
Lineage: Bacteria
Description: bacterial SSU rRNA
Rfam family: Bacterial small subunit ribosomal RNA
Source: RNAcentral
GACGAACGCUGGCGGCGUGCUUAACACAUGCAAGUCGAACGGAAAGGCCCUGCUUUUGUGGGGUGCUCGAGUGGCGAACGGGUGAGUAACACGUGAGUAACCUGCCCUUGACUUUGGGAUAACUUCAGGAAACUGGGGCUAAUACCGGAUAGGAGCUCCUGCUGCAUGGUGGGGGUUGGAAAGUUUCGGCGGUUGGGGAUGGACUCGCGGCUUAUCAGCUUGUUGGUGGGGUAGUGGCUUACCAAGGCUUUGACGGGUAGCCGGCCUGAGAGGGUGACCGGCCACAUUGGGACUGAGAUACGGCCCAGACUCCUACGGGAGGCAGCAGUGGGGAAUAUUGCACAAUGGGCGGAAGCCUGAUGCAACAACGCCGCGUGCGGGAUGACGGCCUUCGGGUUGUAAACCGCUUUCGCCUGUGACGAAGCGUGAGUGACGGUAAUGGGUAAAGAAGCACCGGCUAACUACGUGCCAGCAGCCGCGGUGAUACGUAGGGUGCGAGCGUUGUCCGGAUUUAUUGGGCGUAAAGGGCUCGUAGGUGGUUGAUCGCGUCGGAAGUGUAAUCUUGGGGCUUAACCCUGAGCGUGCUUUCGAUACGGGUUGACUUGAGGAAGGUAGGGGAGAAUGGAAUUCCUGGUGGAGCGGUGGAAUGCGCAGAUAUCAGGAGGAACACCAGUGGCGAAGGCGAUUCUCUGGGCCUUUCCUGACGCUGAGGAGCGAAAGCGUGGGGAGCGAACAGGCUUAGAUACCCUGGUAGUCCACGCUGUAAACGGUGGGUACUAGGUGUGGGGUCCAUUCCACGGGUUCCGUGCCGUAGCUAACGCUUUAAGUACCCCGCCUGGGGAGUACGGCCGCAAGGCUAAAACUCAAAGGAAUUGACGGGGCCCCGCACAAGCGGCGGAGCAUGCGGAUUAAUUCGAUGCAACGCGUAGAACCUUACCUGGGUUUGACAUGGAUCGGGAGUGCUCAGAGAUGGGUGUGCCUCUUUUGGGGUCGGUUCACAGGUGGUGCAUGCCUGUCGUCAGCUCGUGUCGUGAGAUGUUGGGUUAAGUCCCGCAACGAGCGCAACCCUUGUUCACUGUUGCCAGCACGUUAUGGUGGGGACUCAGUGGAGACCGCCGGGGUCAACUCGGAGGAAGGUGGGGAUGACGUCAAGUCCUCAUGCCCCUUAUGUCCAGGGCUUCACGCAUGCUACAAUGGCUGGUACAGAGAGUGGCGAGCCUGUGAGGGUGAGCGAAUCUCGGAAAGCCGGUCUCAGUUCGGAUUGGGGUCUGCAACUCGACCUCAUGAAGUCGGAGUCGCUAGUAAUCGCAGAUCAGCAACGCUGCGGUGAAUACGUUCCCGGGGCU